RNAcentral lists this ribosomal RNA (710 nucleotides) under Alternaria alternata. RNAcentral's name for it is "SSU rRNA". It matches the Rfam family "Eukaryotic small subunit ribosomal RNA", at positions 64 to 781 of the family's 1831-position model. The record is from RNAcentral. Lineage: Eukaryota; Fungi; Ascomycota; Dothideomycetes; Pleosporales; Pleosporaceae.
UCUAGUUAGCAUUAUACCGUGAAACUGCGAAUGGCUCAUUAAAUCAGUUAUCGUUUAUUUGAUAAUACCUUACUACUUGGAUAACCGUGGUAAUUCUAGAGCUAAUACAUGCUGAAAAUCCCGACUUCGGAAGGGAUGUGUUUAUUAGAUAAAAAACCAAUGCCCUUCGGGGCUUUUUGGUGAUUCAUGAUAACUUUACGGAUCGCAUAGCCUUGCGCUGGCGACGGUUCAUUCAAAUUUCUGCCCUAUCAACUUUCGAUGGUAAGGUAUUGGCUUACCAUGGUUUCAACGGGUAACGGGGAAUUAGGGUUCGAUUCCGGAGAGGGAGCCUGAGAAACGGCUACCACAUCCAAGGAAGGCAGCAGGCGCGCAAAUUACCCAAUCCCGACACGGGGAGGUAGUGACAAUAAAUACUGAUACAGGGCUCUUUUGGGUCUUGUAAUUGGAAUGAGUACAAUUUAAACCUCUUAACGAGGAACAAUUGGAGGGCAAGUCUGGUGCCAGCAGCCGCGGUAAUUCCAGCUCCAAUAGCGUAUAUUAAAGUUGUUGCAGUUAAAAAGCUCGUAGUUGAAACUUGGGCCUGGCUGGCGGGUCCGCCUCACCGCGUGCACUCGUCCGGCCGGGCCUUCCUUCUGAAGAACCUCAUGCCCUUCACUGGGCGUGCUGGGGAAUCAGGACUUUUACUUUGAAAAAAUUAGAGUGUUCAAAGC